This 882-nucleotide ribosomal RNA is filed under the name uncultured organism. Its description in RNAcentral is "bacterial SSU rRNA". It matches the Rfam family "Bacterial small subunit ribosomal RNA", at positions 22 to 963 of the family's 1533-position model. The record is from RNAcentral.
GCUCAGAACGAACGCUGGCGGCAGGCCUAACACAUGCAAGUCGAGCGGACCUUCGGGUUAGCGGCGGACGGGUGAGUAACGCGUGGGAACGUGCCCCUCAGUUCAGGAUAGCCCCGGGAAACUGGGAUUAAUACUGGAUACGCCCUUCGGGGGAAUGAGGGAUCGGCCCGCGUUGGAUUAGGUAGUUGGUGGGGUAACGGCCUACCAAGCCGACGAUCCAUAGCUGGUUUGAGAGGAUGAUCAGCCACACUGGGACUGAGACACGGCCCAGACUCCUACGGGAGGCAGCAGUGGGGAAUCUUAGACAAUGGGGGAAACCCUGAUCUAGCCAUGCCGCGUGAGUGACGAAGGCCCUAGGGUCGUAAAGCUCUUUCACCANGGGAAGAUAAUGACGGUACCUGGAGAAGAAACCCCGGCUAACUCCGUGCCAGCAGCCGCGGUAAUACGGAGGGGGUUAGCGUUGUUCGGAAUUACUGGGCGUAAAGCGCGCGUAGGCGGACUGUUAAGUCGGGGGUGAAAUCCCGGGGCUCAACCCCGGAACUGCCUUCGAUACUGGCAGUCUGGAGUCCGAGAGAGGUGAGUGGAACUCCGAGUGUAGAGGUGAAAUUCGUAGAUAUUCGGAAGAACACCAGUGGCGAAGGCGGCUCACUGGCUCGGUACUGACGCUGAGGUGCGAAAGUGUGGGGAGCAAACAGGAUUAGAUACCCUGGUAGUCCACACCGUAAACGAUGAAUGCCAGACGUCGGGCAGCAUGCUGUUCGGUGUCACACCUAACGGAUUAAGCAUUCCGGCUGGGGAGUACGGCCGCAAGGUUAAAACUUCAAAGGAAUUGACGGGGGCCCGCACAAGCGGUGGAGCAUGUGGUUUAUUCGAAGCAACGCG